UUUCGAGUCAUGACUGGAGCGAACCGGAGUGACAGGGAGCGGAGCUAGCGCACAGGACGCCCCGAGCCCGGGCGCUGCGUGUCAGCGGGCAGCGGUGUGAGGACGGAGAGCGGCGUGCGAGGGGGGCUGUCACAGAGGAGGCCGAGACUAUGACAACAGAAAAUUUAAAUGCAAUGACUGAAUUGGUAUGUGGAUGUCCUCCCAAAGCCAGCCUGGAGAAGUAUAAAAGAUUUGCAAUGCCAGAUUCCAGUAUAAAGUGACUGGUAUGAUCAUACCAGUUCCUACAAUGGGUUGGUGGUUUUCUGAUUCUGCUUUAUCUUAAGUGCCAAGCUGCUAAAAGGAUGUGUUUAGUAUCCUGGAUGUCGGGAUGCUGACGGUUAUGUGACCAAUGCCGGAAUCCCGACACGAACUCAGGAGGCAGACGCCGGAUAACAGACAGCAGACAUC
Pseudophryne corroboree (corroboree frog) is the source of this 447-nucleotide long non-coding RNA. RefSeq lists it as uncharacterized. The record is from RefSeq and is a predicted model, not a curated record. Lineage: Eukaryota; Metazoa; Chordata; Amphibia; Anura; Myobatrachidae. The transcript has 3 exons.